RNAcentral lists this ribosomal RNA (253 nucleotides) under uncultured bacterium. Its description in RNAcentral is "partial 16S ribosomal RNA". It matches the Rfam family "Bacterial small subunit ribosomal RNA", at positions 524 to 776 of the family's 1533-position model. The record is from RNAcentral.
UACGGAGGGUGCGAGCGUUGUCCGGAAUCACUGGGCGUAAAGGGCGCGUAGGUGGCGACCCAAGUCCAUGGUGAAAGCUCGAUGCUCAACAUCGAGUCGGCCACGGAUACUGGGUUGCUGGAGCACUGUAGAGGCAGAUGGAAUUCCGGGUGUAGCGGUGGAAUGCGUAGAGAUCCGGAAGAACACCGGUGGCGAAGGCGGUCUGCUGGGCAGUUGCUGACACUGAGGCGCGACAGCGUGGGGAGCAAACAGG